Alligator mississippiensis (American alligator) is the source of this 11015-nucleotide long non-coding RNA. RefSeq lists it as uncharacterized. NCBI's taxonomy places the organism in Eukaryota, Metazoa, Chordata, Crocodylia, Alligatoridae. The transcript is spliced from 3 exons. The record is from RefSeq and is a predicted model, not a curated record.
GAAGAAGGUUUUAGACUGGAUAUAAGGAAAAACUUCUUCACAGUUCAUGUGAUCAGACUCUGGGAUAGACUCCCAGUGCAGGUGGUGUAGGCACCUACCCUGGAAACCUUCAGAAGGACUGGACGCACACCUUGCUGGUUAUUUGAGGUUAUUUGACCUCAGCAGUCUUUCCUGCCCAGAGCAGAGGGGCUGGAUCUGAUGAUCUCACAAGGUCCCUUCCAGCCCUAUACUUCUGUGAAUCAAAUCCCCACCCUCCAGUCUUCUCUUAUUCAGAUUAAAUAAACCCUGUUCUUUUAGCCUCUCCUCAGAAGUCAUGUGCUCCAGCCCCCUAACCAUUUUCAUUGCCCUCCACUGUACUCUUUCCAACUUGUCCACAGCCUUUCUAUAGUAGGGGGCCCAAAACUGGACACAGUACUCCAGAUGUAGCCCCACCAGUGCUGAAUAGAGGAGAAUAAUAACUUCCCUCAAUCUGCUGGCAACACUCCAACCAAUACAGCCCAGUAUGCUGUUAGCCUUCUCGGCAACAAGGGCACACUGCUGACUCAUAUCCAUCUUAUUUUCAACUGUAGCCCCAGGUCCUUUUCUGCAGAGCUGCUGUUUAGCCAGUUGGUUCCAAGCCUAUAGCAGUACAUGAGGUUGUACUUUGCGCUUGUCCUUGUUGAACCUGAUAAGAUUUCUUUUGGCCCAGUCCUCCAAUUAGUCUAGGUCACUCUGAAUCCUAGUCCUACCCCCAGCUUAGUGUCACCCAUGAGCUUGCUGAGGGUGGAAUCCAUCCCAUCUUCCAGAUCAUCAAUGAAGAUAUUGAACAAAACUGGCUUCAAGACCAAGCCCUGGGGCAUUGUACUUGAUACUGGCUGCCUACUCGACCUCAAGUCAUUGACUGCUACCUGUUGAGCCUGAUGAUCCAGCCAGCUUUCUAUCCACCUUACAGUCCCUUCAUCCAACCCAUACAUACUUCCUCAGCUUGUUCACAAGAAUACUGUGGGAGACUGUAUCAAAAGCCUUGCUAAAGUCAAGGUAUAUUAUGUUCACUGCUUUCAUCACAUCCACAGAGCCAGUCAUCUCAUCAUAGAAGGCAAUCAGGUUGGUCAGGCAUGACUUGCCCUUUGUGAUUCCAUGCUGACUUCCUAAUCACCUUUUUCUCCUCCAAGUGCUAGAAAUGGAUUCCUUGAGGAUCUGCCUCAUGAUGUUUCCAUGGACUCAGAUGAGGCGGAUUGGUCUGCAGUUCCCUGGAUUCUCCUUCUUCCCCUUCUUAAAGAUGGACACUAUAUUUGCCCUUUUCCAGUUGUCCAGGACCUCCCGCAAUUGCCAUGAGUUUUCAAAUAUAAUGGCCAGCAGCUCUAUCACAUCAGCCAACUCCUUCAGCACCCUCGGGUGCAUUGCAUCCAGCCCCAUGGACUUUUACAUGUCCAGCUUUUCUAAAUAGUCCUUAACCUGUUCUUUCACCACUGAGGGCUGCUCACCUCAUCCUCAAACUGUGCUGCCUAGUGCAGUAGUCUGGGAGCUGACCUUACCUGUGAAGACCAAGGUAAAAAAAAACAUAGAGUACUUUAGCCUUUACCUUCUCAUUUGUCACUAGGUUGCCUCCCCCAUUCAGCAAGGGAUCCACCUUCCUCUUAACCUUCCUCUUCCUUGACCUUCCUCUUGUUAACAUAUUUGUAGAAACCCUUCUUGUUACCCUUCAUGUCCCUUGCUAGCUGCAACUCCAAUUGCGCUUUGGCCUUCCUGAUUUCUUCCUGAUUUCAGGGCACAGAACAUGCCCUGAACUCUAGGAGCAAAGCUGAACUCCCAUGUUGCUCGCCCUGUACCUUUAAAUCUCUCUACGUGCCCCUCUCCCUGGCCUCCCUUUUAACAGCUUGGUCCUCUCCCUCCGUCACAAUCAGACAUUACACCAGGCAUGUCAGGCUCCCUCAGCUCAGCUUCUGAGUGGAACAGGAAUCAAAUCAGGGGUGUCCACACCACAGCAGGCCUCUGGUUCUGCCUCUACAUCUGCUCAAUUUGUGAGGGCAACUGUAGUGAUCAUACUUGAAAAUGCUGAUCCCAACAUCCUUUAGCUCUUACUCUUAGAAUAUAAUGAGAGUGGUCAUUCCUUAAUAAAGCACAGUGAAUGGAACUGAUAGUGUGUUGAUCUGAUCUAUAUGUUAUAUUUAAGAUGCAAUUAACCAGUUAAUCACAUCUUAAAUGGUCACUCAGCCGCACAUUCAAUCAAUUAAUGGCACGAUAAAAUGAAGAAUAAGCCACAAAGUUAUUCCACAAAAUAUGCGUAAUAACUUUGUGGCUCAUUACUAUCGCACCAACCAUUGAAUGUGUGGCUGGGGCCCCUGUGGCUGGGAGUUCUGUCAGCUGAUUGGGGCUCCCAUCUGGGGGCCCAUAUGCACACCAGAGCUUGGAAGCUCACAGCACCCCAUGCAGCCGAGUGGCUGGGAGUCUGCAGCUGAUGCAAUCUUCCAGCCAUGGGGGUACUCUGGGCAUCCCCGCAACUGGGAGAUAUCAGCUGAUGUGGACUUCCAGCCAUUGGGGUGUCCCAGGCUGGCUGUUCUGUCAGCUGUGAGCUCCCAGGCUCUUAGAUGCACAUGGGCCCCCAGCUGGGAGCCUCAGUUGCAUCAGUUGUGGGCUUCCAGCCACAGGGAUGCUGGCGGUACACCCACAGCUGGGAGAUUGCAUCAGCUGCAGUCUCCCAGCUUCUGGGAAUAUAUUACUUGCUGAUACAAGGAGAGCCUGGGAUCACAAUCAUAAAAUUCCCAGGCUUCCACUGGUAGUAAGAUAUGAUAGGAUUUAAUUUGUGAUCUUGCAAUCAUGCCUCCUGCCAUGCAUGUGUGGCAUGGCAGGAAGUGCGAUUGUGUGGAUCAUGCAUCAUAUCCCAUCACACCUUUACCUGCACUUCUAGAGUGGCUCAGAAGUACAUCUUAGGGAGGAAUUAACUUUGUGUUUGGUAUUAGGGGUGUCAGGUGUGUUUUGGAGUCCUCCAUACUAUGCACCUUUGGUAGGAUGUAAUUAGUAGAGAUAUGCAUUACUGAGCAAACUAUAAACUACUAGAAUUAGUCAUUGUGUGCAGUUUCAGUUAAAUGCUUGCAAAUCAUAUCAAAUGUGUCCAUUCUGUUCUCCAUUCUGUUUAUCACUUUAUCAUAUGCUAUCAGCUGGGUUACUGAUGGACUAUGCUUUGCUCCAGAGGGGUGUGAAUUGCCUUUCCUAUGGCUUAAUAUAAUCUCUGUUAUUAAAAUUAAUUUAGUCCUAAUUCAUUGUUAUUCUGUUGAAUGUUCUCUAUAAAAUCGUACAUGGCGAGACUGAGUAAUGCUACCACAGUUUGCAAAGAGCUUUAGAAUGAGGUGUAUUUUGAGCUCCAAAUAAUAAGUGAAUGCAUCAAACAGAUAAUUUCAAUUCAUUUCAAAUUCUAAUCUGAAAAGUAGCUCAAAGAUUGGCACAAAGCUAUUUUUUUAUGAUGUCUCAGUGACUCCAUAACAAGAUUGUUUUACAAAUAGGUGUUGCAAACUGAAACCUGGGACUUGAAAGUAAUGAGAAAUAUUUCCUUUUCAGGAGCGGCCAUGGUGAUGAAGAUCCUAUGACACCCAUCUUGCAUUGGUGACCUAUACAUCCAAACUAUUUAAUAACUCUAUGGAAAGGUCAAGAGAGAUCAUCCAUCCUGAGUAAAUUCUGCCUUCAUAAUCUCCGGUCCCAAAAUGUGCACAGGGGCAUCAGUCUGUCUCACUGGAGUGAAAAUCUAUAGCGGGGAGGAACAGGAAUCCUUUGGGACAUACACUGAAUAUAUCUUAGAAUCGUCAAGAAGUCAACAUAUUCACAUUUACAAGACAAAAGAGUAAGGUGUCACCAGUUUCUCAGAAAUAAGCUGUGGUGGGCCACACAAGGUACUCUCAAUGACUGCCCACCCCUGAUGAGUCACGGCAAUAUGGAGGUGGAAGCUGCUGAUUUAAAUGAAUGAAUGAACCUUCUCAAGAUUCUCUGCAUCCCUCCUGAAGUGCGGUGCCCAAAACUGGACACAGUACUCCAACUGUGGUCUGACCAGUGCUGCAUAGAGGGGAAUCAUCAUCUCCCUGCACCUGUUCAUCAUGCAUUUGCUAAUGUAUGAUAAAGUGCAUUUAGCCUUGUUGAUCACUUUGUCACAUUGACUACUCAUGUUCAUCUUGGAGUCAGCGAUGACUCCAAGAUCCCUUACCACUGCUAUGCUGCUGAGAAGGUCAUCCCCCAACCUGCAAGCGUGUUGGUGGUUCGUUUUGCCCAGGUGCAGCACGUUGUACUUGUCUUUAUUGAACUGCAUCCUAUUUCAUUCUGCCUGUUUUUCCAACCUGUUCAUAUCUUCCUGGAUCCGUUCCCUACCCUCUGGUGUGUUAACUUCGCCCCAUAAUUUGUUAUCAUCUGCAGACAUGGACAGGGUGCUCUCCACACCCUCAUCCAAGUCACUGAUGAAGACAUUGAAUAGUACGGUCCAAGGACUGAUCCUUGCAGGACUCCACUGCCCACAUCUUUCCAAGCUGAUAUUGACCCAUCCACCACCACUCUCUGGGUGUGACCCCUAAGCCAAUUUGCCACCCACCUGACUGUGUAAUUAUCUACAUCACAGCCUGUCAGUUUAUUUACAAAAACAGAAUGAAAUACCAUAUUGAAGGCCUUCUUAAAAUCUAAGCAGAUGACAUCUACUUCGACUCCUGUGUCUAAGCAUUUUGUGACUUGGUCAUAAAAAGAAACAAGGUUAGUCAGGCAGAAUCGACCCGCAAUGAAUCUGUGCUGAUUUCCUUUCAGCAUUAUUUCCCCUGCUGGGCUCCCACAAAUGUGAUCCUUAAUGAUUUUUUCCAGAGUUUUCCCAAGGAUAGAUGUGAGACUAACUGGUCUAUAGUUUCCUGGUUCCUCCCUCCUCCCCUUCUUGAAAAUAGGGACCAGAAUGGCCCUUUUCCAGUCCUCUGGGACCUGACCAGAGCACCAUGUGUGUUCGAACAGGACUGCCAGCAGCUCUGCUAUCACACUAGCCAAUUCCUUCAGCACUCUUGGAUAAAGUUCAUCCAGGGCUGCUGAUUUGUACACAUCCAUCCCCUGCAAGUGCCCCUUCAUUAAGUCUGCACUAACACUUGGUGGGCUGGUGUCCCGCCGGUGUCUAUCAAUGAUCCAACUGGGAGAUCUGUCUUGGUCUGUGUCGAGGAAUACAGAUGCAAAGAGCUCACUGAAGAGCUCAGCUUUGUCCUCCCUCUCUGUCACCAAUUGCACUAGUUUGUCCUGUAGGGGUCCUAUGCUACCCUGUGCCUUCCUUUUGCUCCCUAUAUACCUGAGGAAGGACUUUUUGUUGUGCUUAAUUUUUGUCACCAACCUAAGUUCCAAUCCUGCUUUGGCCUUCUUAACUGAUUCCCUGCAAGUGCAAGCCAGGGAGGUAUACUCCUCCUUGGUAACUACCCUCUGUUUCCACAGCCUGUAUCCCUCUUUCUUUACCCUUAGGCUUUCCUGGAUAGAUAUAUAUGUAAUUAUGACUGACUAACUACAUAGUUUUAUUUUAGCAGCUAAAACUCAGCAGCUAGACCAAGACUUAAGCCCUUUGUAUAACUAGAGUCCAAAGUGAGGGGGAGUUUGCUUAGAAACUCUCUCUCAUAUUCCUUCACUGUAAGCUUGCUGAGAGGAAAGAGGUUGCAGGGGAAAGGGAAAACUUCAGAUCAAGGAACAGCAAAUAGGCCAGCUACAGAGGAGUUUGCUAGGGAAGGUCUGCUUGGAAAGAGACCCACAAAAUGAGGGGCAGCAGAUUAAAAGACAUGGCUGGAGGAUGUUGCAAUCCCUGAUCCACUCACUUCCAGCUCUUCUUUUGCUUCUACCUGUGAGGUGCCUGUCCAGGCAGGACCACACACCAUUGAAGCCUCCAUCCAGGUCUUGGUUUGGUGCUGUGCAGACUGCAGCUUGCCAGUUUCUUUCAGUGUCAGCCAGCUCAGGGAGUGUCUGCAAUGUGAGCAGUGCUUUCUGGUGGUGUCCCUCAGGGAGAAGGCACAAGAGCUACAGGAGGAGGUAUUAAGGCUCCAAAGCUUCCUCCUCCAUGAUUACUUCAUCAAUUUCAUUCUAAAGGAAACCUCUAGGACUGUGGAGAAAGGACUGUCAGAGGAGAUGCUAGAAAAGUAAGAGGGCAUGGACUCCCAGGAAGGUGUGUCUUCUGGUGAUAAGAAGUUGUCACCCUCAUGUGCAGUGGUUUGCCUGGAGAACAGAUAUGGAGGAACAGAUAUUCCAUUGGUGGAAGAGGCCAGGUCAGGAAUCCCCCAGGUUGGGAAGAUCAAGACCACUACCACGAAGAAGCAGCGAUGGGAGGUGGUGUUUGGAGACUCCCUUGUGUGAGGGACAGAGGGAUCCAUUUGCCAGUUUGACCUGCUGUCCCUGGAGGUCUGCUGUUUGCCUAGAGCCCAGAUCCAAGAUGUCAUAGAUGGAUUACUGAGACUUGCCUGACCCUCUGACUACUACCCAGAGCCAACCCUAGCAGGGUGCAGGGUGCAGUGCAAAUCAGCCUGUGCAGGGCCCCUUUAACACUACACAGGGCCAUGGGAUCCCCACAAAGGCAGGGAGCAGCAGUGCCGUAGCAAUGAAAUUUGGCACCCGGGGCCCAAAAGAUCCUGUGUGCCCCAGACAAGCUGCUGUUUAGUGGAUGCAAAACCAGUGGCGUGCAGCAGGGGGCGGGCGAGUGGCUAGACACUUCUUCCAUGGUGUGGGGCUGAGCUGCCAGCUCCAGGCAGGUCCUGUGGAGGGGUCAUGGCUGCUGCACCCAGCUCUGCAGGGCCCCCCAAAGCAUGGGGCCUGGGGCGGUUGCCCCAAUUCACCCUACCCAAAGGAUGGCUUUGCUACUACUCCAUGCGGGCACCAAUGAUACAAAUGGUUGGACUAGAUGACUUCCUGAGGUCCCUUUGGACCCUAAUUUGUUAUGAUUCUAUUAUUCCAUCCCUGCCUCUGGCACAAAGUUCCUGCAUGAUGAUAGACAAGUCACCCAAGCCAAAAUUUUCACAGGUAAACCUAACUAAGUGUCCCACAGAUUGUGGAUUCCCAACUUGAGCUGUUGAGGUCUGAUUUACAGAAGUGCUGGGCAUUCAUAGCUGUACCUGAAAUUAAUUGGAGGCAUGGGCAACUGGUACCUCCUGAGUUGGGGGGGGGGGGGCACUUGCCCCCCAGCAGCCGAUUGCACCGACCUGGAAGUGUGAGCAGGGCACCAGGAAGCGCCAGCAGCACUUCUCCUGGUGCCUGCACUCCCACCUGCCCAUCGCCUAAGCAGGGAGCACUGGCUGUGAAGGGGUGCACCAGUGCUCUCAGGGGAUGCACGUGCACUCCCAUGCAUCGCCAGUGAUUGGAGGCAUAGUUUGAACUUAUUAAGUAGUAUAAUGUCAAGUAAUCCAAAAAAAUCACAACUCAGCUAUUUUAAAUUUGUUACCCAAAUUUAAUGAAUAGUUUUUACAUCAAUUUUUGUGGGCUUCAAUUUCACAUUUGAAAAAGGGGAUGAUAAUGUCCCCACUGUACAUGACUGUUGUGAAAAUAUAUUAAUUAACAUUGUGCAACAGUCAGAUACUCUGAGGAAGAGUGCAAUAGAAAAGCAAAAGUGAAGUGAAUAAUUCUGUCUUCAGAGCAUAGUUUUAAUAAUAGGCAGUAAGUAAGGUAUGGAACAGCACAUUUAACAAGGAGAAAACAAAAUAAUAGCGUUUCUGUACACCAAAUGAGGUAGGAGUCUUGUGGGGGAAAAAUAUUUAAUCAUACAGUUACAUAUAGGAACAAUAAUGCAUAUGCACAAGGGUUGGACACUUAAAGCUGUACAGAUAGACUUAAUUCUGGCAUUUCCUAGCUUUUGAGUGUUGGCCUUUGCUACCUUAAUAAUGUUGUAGCUUUUGUGUGUACUUAAGUAUAACUGAAAAAAGCAAAGUCAUCCUUUGGGGCUGCAGUACAAGUUUUAUUUUCCACUCUUGUGACAAAAGGGUUUGUAAUGUUUUACUGUCUGCAUGGAAGCUCCUGUGUAGGCUUUCCCUAAGUACACAUGGCACAGCAUUAGGGAGACCCACAACAGACAACUGAGCAAUUCUCUAAACCCUGAUUAGUUGUCAUAUGCAAUCCCAAAUUUGAUGGGCUUCAGGUAGAUUUAUAAGCAAUUCAUUACUUCACUAGUUAACCACAACAAUUCUUCACAAUGAUUCAAAAGCAUCAGUCUUCAUAACUGCCCACGUACAUAAACACAAAAAUUUCUAGGUCCAGCCAAUUUUGUGCUACGAUAGGCCAAAAACAGGUUUGCAAAAUGACUCAGAAGUGAAAGUAACAUCGGAUUUUGAGAGAUGUUUCACAAGUGAUUUGACUUACUUUUUCUAUAAGUACUAUAUACUUUUGCCUUGAGUUGAAUGUCCUAAUGCAUGUGGACUCUCAUGUUGAUGGUUUGAGUUUUGGUGAAAUACUGGUAAUUGAGAGAAGGAUUACAAAACUAGAUUUGUGAUGGGAAGAUGCUGCUUCACCCUAAACAAUGUAGAGACAAGUAAUCACUCUUUAAAAACAGUGAUUUUUGUGGUGAUUCCCUGUUUUGGAAAACUAAUUUAAGAGACAUUAAGGAAGCCUGAUUUUUUCCAGAGUUGUGCUCAGUAAUAGAGAAUCAUUCAGCACCUCACUGCAUCAAGCUCUAAAUGUUGUCAAAGUCUCUGUUUUGCACUGUCAAAGAUUAGGCAAGUGUUUCACAAGGUUUGGUUUUCUUGUGUGUUACUAAGUAAAGCUGUAAUGUAAUUGGACAAGAUUCUGACUCAGGCUAAGCUUCCUUCGCAUAACUCUGGCAGUACAGAAUAGUCAGUGAGUACCUGUGGUAAACCUGCACAGGUUAUGGAAAAUCACCCAAAAGUAGGGGGCUGAUGGAUAGCCUCAUACCACUUCCCUGCAUGGUCCUCAAUCUAGGAGCGUGUUGGGAGGAGUGGCCAGGAAAGGAAGGGGUGUGAUACACAUGAAUGCAGGGAGUGAUUGACACAUUCUUCCUUCUGGCUGUGCUGUGCUACAAAAGAGCCAAUUGGCAGCUGCCAUAAAUUGGAGCAGUCCCAAGAAAAAUGUUGGCCUUAGACCAGCCCAUAAUUCCAGGAUGCUUUCUGCAAAGCACAGCACAAGGUCUAGUCCCUUGCUUUACUAACCUAUAACAACUACUUAGUAGUUAAAGUAGCUUAUUGUGUUUUCUGUUUCAAAUAAGAUACAUGACUUAUUUUGUUAUUUUAAUAGAAUAUUUUGAGCUGACAGACAACCAUCAUGUUUUGGGGCACAGUUGCAAGCUUGUAUAGCAUAGCCUUUGAAUUUGCUACCUAUCAACAGGAAAAUGUCUAAUUGGUACAGUGUUGCACUGAAAUCAAAGCAAUGCACAUCAAAUGUUAAAACUUAGGCACUGUAGACCUAAUGCAGUGUCUUUAUAAUUAGACAUGAUUCUUGUUAGGGUGAAACUACACUUACCCAGAGCUGACAAAAACACACCUGUUUUAUUUCAGAACAUACAGUACUCUCAUUACUCAAUGUUACAGCAGCUUGUUAUUCAAAUGGCUGGUCAAACACAUUUUAUCCUGCCCAAGUAGGAGUUUGACUAGUCAGAAUAAAAAAGGACAAAUAUUAAAUUAGUUGGCAAUCUUACUUUGAUUAGAUUGCUCAAAUCCAAAGGAUGUUUCUUUAGAAUCUAAAUAAGAUGUUUCACUUUAUAUUUAUCCCUUGGCAAUUCGUAAAUAGUAUUUGAUCAAAGUCAAAUAAAGAUAAACAUCUGAUCAUUCAGUGGAGCCUACCUGUCUUACCUAUUGUCCUCAGCUCAGACAGGCUCAAAUCCCUGCUCCAACACUGACCUAAAGCUUGUAAUGAUCUUGUAGUUCUUUCAGUCAUGUCUCAUGUUAAGCUUGCAUCUCAUCUGCUUACUAUGAACCCUGCCAGUCUCUACCCUUUGUAUACUCACAUGGUGAGAUUUUAACUACAGUAAUGGUAUUUGGAAGAUCUGUCAUCAGAAAUGCUAGUGAAAUACACACCUGGAUUGAGCUCUUUAUUCUACAUGUAGCUGUAAAUGGUGGACUGUCCAAAUAGAUUACAUUUUUCAGAAUAAAGUACUUAUUUUAGGGGUCUUGAAUUUUCUAGAUAUGGACACAAUUGGAAGCAUUCCCUAAAUGGGAAGAGGAGAUUGUUGUUGUUAAACUAUGGUAGUGUCAACGUCUGCAAAGAGAUGCCAUAGUUAUAGUGCUAUAUAUACCCUUGUAGCUACAGAAGGCAGGUGUUCAGAUGUGUCCUGCCCGUAGCUCUGUAAAAAUGGUGCAGACACUACAGAAAUGUUCUUAUUUGAAACAGGAACUUCUCUGUAGUACUAUGUUUUCUAGUGCCGUGUGUAACAUCUGUACAGUUACGUGGAGCACUACAAGAAUCUCUCCCUUAGCAUCCCACAGUAGUUUGUUUUCUUCCCACAUGCAAGGCUGGAGGGGAGGAACAGGCUCCAUGACAGCCCAAUGUGGGGGCAGAGCUGCAGCCCAGCCAGGAUUGGGGGGUAGAGGAGGUAACCAAAUCACCCUUGGUUAAUCUGAGCUGCUCUCAUCUAAUCCUUAGUUUGAUUAGGGCCAAAUCAACUUCCAGAAUUAUUUAAGAACAAUUGGAAGCCCUUUGGAACAGAUUUGUAUGGACUGCUACAGCAAUCAAGGAUCAGGAGGAGAAAGAGUCCAAGGCAGGAUUUAUGUUAUAAGUUAUAUAUUUAAUACUGAAUGAUAGCGAUGCUUGUGGAACUUCAUUCCUUUCCAUAGCAAAUUACUCCAGGAGAGUGGCAUUUUCUAGUGUUGUUCACAGGACCAGCAAUCAGGAAUACCCAAUUCUAUUUUCAACUCAAGUUUUUUGCUUUAAAAAUGGUUGUAUUAUAUCAGUUAAUAACUAUGUGAAUGAUUUGUGACUGACUUGAUAUGCUACUGUUGAUUUCAUUAUUCUUUACUAUUCUUACUAUUAAAAUGAAAGUAAGAAUUAGAGAGUUGCAGAGGCUAGAUGUCAGGCAUUAUUUGUAAUAUUGUCCACAACACUAUGGAAAUGAUGUUACUCUA